RNAcentral lists this small RNA (25 nucleotides) under Arabidopsis thaliana (thale cress). Its description in RNAcentral is "ATSL288910". The record is from RNAcentral. Lineage: Eukaryota; Viridiplantae; Streptophyta; Magnoliopsida; Brassicales; Brassicaceae.
AUUUAUUUUAUUUUAUUUUUGUUUU